RNAcentral lists this long non-coding RNA (1595 nucleotides) under Eucalyptus grandis. RNAcentral's name for it is "long non-coding RNA (EGRA_LNC000213)". Lineage: Eukaryota; Viridiplantae; Streptophyta; Magnoliopsida; Myrtales; Myrtaceae. The record is from RNAcentral.
CCAUCUCAGUUGAAUUUUCGGAAAAUAAAUAAUUAUUUAAUUUAAUUCCGAAAAAUAAUAUUAAAAUACCAAAAAUCUCACUUAUGCCCGAAUUGCCUAAUUAACACCCGAUAAGGGUCGGGAAAAAUCCCACGAAGCAUCCAAUAAAUACUACAUGCAAUUCUCUAUCUAAUUACACUAAUCACAUCACUAAUAUACAAAGCAAUUAACUAAUAAUCACUAAUCAAUUCUAAUCUAACAACCUAAUUACACUUAAUUAACACUAAUCAACAUUUAAGUAUAAUUAGCAAACUAAGAAGGCAUUAGUGAGUAAAACUCACUUGAUAAACGCGAAGACCGGAUCACCGCACGGUGACGCGACGGCGGCCGAAUUCCAAAAUUUCGGCGACGUCGAUGCACCCUCGCGCCGGGCCAAGAAACUUUGCAAGCCCGCAGAAAUUCUGGGCUUCGAUCGAACUUGGGUCGAUUAACUUCGCAGGCUGAGUUGCUGAAACUUCUUGGGCUUCAAAACUGGGCCUGAGCUUUCACAGAAAUGGGCUGCCGAACAAGAAAGCUUCAUGGGCUGAACAAACAAACUGGACUGGCUGUCUUCGUGAAUGGGCUGUUCCCGGCCUGGGCUUCUUGUUGACUCACGGGCUGAAGGAACGCUUUACGCGAGAGACACGGACGAACGGUGCUACUUCAUUUAUGGACUGGCGCGGCAGAGACGGGGAAGCAGCUGCUGGCGAUGAAGACACGUGCGGCUCCGUGGAUUGAAGAAGCUGGAGAAGUGCGGAGAUGCGCACCAAGAGGAGUCAACCUCAGUGGUCGCACGGGUUGAUUUGCUGACCGACUUCACGAGCGGACAACACGGGCAGCUCAACCAAAAACUGAAGACGCAUGGAGAUUUCUUCGGUGAAUAGUGUUGUUGGCGUCUGAUCCGUGCGUGGGCUGUUGCGGUCAACUAAGGGGUUCUUGUGAGUGCAGCUGUUGACUGAAGGAGCUGGCUUCGGAGGAGGACUUCGAGCGUUGAAGAUGGAAGCAGCUUCGUCUGAGUUGCGACAGACGCACGGCAGCUAGCACACGGUCUUCCUCUUCGCUGAACGUUGACUGGAGAUGAGGAGGAACGGACGAGUGGCGCGGCUGCUUCGUGGGAUGUGGGCUGAGCGAAUCAGUGAGGGCUUCGCUCGGUGGCUUUGCCGGGUCAACCAAGUGGUGUCGCUUGAAGACUUCUACUGAAGAUUGACUGUGGGAAACCAAGCAUAGUGGAGCAGGUUGGUGCGCAGAGGAGAACUCGGUGGGUCGGCUGAAUGGGGAAUUCGGUGGUGUUGAGUGCGUCUAAAAGAAACAGCAAGGUGGUAGAGGGAUAGAGGAGAGAGGACGGAGCUGUUUCGGUCUGGAUCGACGGAAAGGAAAGAGAAUAGAGGAGUAGAAAUAGAAGAGAUAAGAAUGAGAGAGGUGCCGUGGAGAUGAAGUCGGCGAGACUUGCUGGAGAAGCCGAAUGAGAGGGAGUCAAGUCAAAACAAAAUAUCUCAUUCAUGAUUAACAAACCAUAAAAGUCUUUAGCCCAACCAAUGGAGAAUUUGCUCCAAUUUCACCCCAAAUUAAAUCAUUUU